Molecule: ribosomal RNA, 462 nt
Filed under: uncultured bacterium
Lineage: Bacteria
Description: partial 16S ribosomal RNA
Rfam family: Bacterial small subunit ribosomal RNA
Source: RNAcentral
GAUCAACGCUGGCGGCGUGCUUAACACAUGCAAGUCGAACGAAGUUUUUCCUUCGGGAGAAACUUAGUGGCGGACGGGUGAGUAACGCGUGUGUAACCUGCCCUGUACAGGGGGACAACAGCUGUAAACGGCUGCUAAUACCGCAUAAGCCCUUAGCACUGCAUGGUGCAUAGGGAAAAGGAGCAAUCCGGUACAGGAUGGACCCGCGUCUGAUUAGCCAGUUGGCAGGGUAACGGCCUACCAAAGCGACGAUCAGUAGCCGAUCUGAGAGGAUGUACGGCCACAUUGGGACUGAGACACGGCCCAGACUCCUACGGGAGGCAGCAGUGGGGAAUAUUGCACAAUGGAGGAAACUCUGAUGCAGCGACGCCGCGUGAGUGAAGAAGUAUUUCGGUAUGUAAAGCUCUAUCAGCAGGGAAGAAAAUGACGGUACCUGACUAAGAAGCACCGGCUAAAUACGUG